Macaca mulatta (Rhesus monkey) is the source of this 906-nucleotide non-coding RNA. The record is from RefSeq and is a predicted model, not a curated record. Lineage: Eukaryota; Metazoa; Chordata; Mammalia; Primates; Cercopithecidae.
UUACACAUUUAGAACCAGAAGAGGAAGUAAGUAACAGAAACUGGACUCAAGAAUCAUUUGGUUUGCCAGCGACUGCAGAACUCUAGGGUUCUAUGUUCAUUCAGACAAAACAUGACAAUACCUCAUUAACUAUAAGAAGGCUUCAAGUGGAAAAAUCCUUUAAUGCUAAGAUGUUCUCAUAAGACACAGAUGCAUUCCUUGAAAGUAAGUAGCACAGAUGAAAGCCUCUACAGAUGGCUGCUUUAGAGCCACCUCCUGUCUCCUGCAGGAUCAUCACUUACAUCACAGUCCUGUCGCCUAGGGGACUUUGCAGAAGUAAACAUAUACCAGCAUUCUAUUCCUCUCACCCAAGAAGUUUCUAGAGGAAAAAGAGCUUUGGAGUUUGAAUCAUAUUUCAGAUGCAGAGAUUCCCCUCUAGAGGACUGCCCGAUCUGAAGCAGCAACUAAGGAUUUGCUCUGAAUAAACUGCCUUUGGACAGACACAGUCCCAGAUAUAAAUGAAGGACAGCAGCCCAUGGAUCUCCCAAUAGCAACUGCAGAUUAAGCCAACAGGCAGGCUGCUGAUAGGAUCUGCUUCCCUUCUUACCUUGGAAUGCCCACACAGGGCUAUGAGGGACCAACCAAAUAUGUGCCUUGGUGACUGUUAAGUAAAAGCAAGUAUAUAAUCAUUUCUCUCCACACUUCCCACAUACUUACCAAGCAAAAAGCCCAUGAAAAAUCUGCAGCAGCCUUUGAUAGCAGGAAGACAUUAUGUGGUACUCCUGAACUUUCAUUCCUGGUCCAUCAACUACACCAUGAUUCUCAGCAGCUAAACACUAAAAAUAAAAAUGAUUUUAGGACAGUUGCUUCAGUAAUUGUCCUCAUUUUCCUUUUUCUCAGCCAAAAAUAAAACCUCAUAUUUGCUUA